GACGAACGCUGGCGGCGUGCUUAACACAUGCAAGUCGAACGAAGAGCGAUGGACGCUUGCUUCUAUCAAUCUUAGUGGCGCACGGGUGAGUAACGCGUAAUCAACCUGCCCUUCAGAGGGGGACAACAGUUGGAAACGACUGCUAAUACCGCAUACGAUCUAACCUCGGCAUCGAGGAUGGAUGAAAGGUGGCCUCUAUUUAUAAGCUAUCACUGAAGGAGGGGAUUGCGUCUGAUUAGCUAGUUGGAGGGGUAACGGCCCACCAAGGCGAUGAUCAGUAGCCGGUCUGAGAGGAUGAACGGCCACAUUGGGACUGAGACACGGCCCAGACUCCUACGGGAGGCAGCAGUGGGGAAUCUUCCGCAAUAGACGAAAGUCUGACGGAGCAACGCCGCGUGAGUGAUGACGGCCUUCGGGUUGUAAAGCUCUGUUAAUCGGGACGAAAGGCCUUCUUGCGAAUAGUUAGAAGGAUUGACGGUACCGGAAUAGAAAGCCACGGCUAACUACGUG
Molecule: ribosomal RNA, 510 nt
Filed under: uncultured bacterium
Lineage: Bacteria
Description: partial 16S ribosomal RNA
Rfam family: Bacterial small subunit ribosomal RNA
Source: RNAcentral